CCUACGGGUGGCAGCAGUGGGGGAUAUUGCACAAUGGAGGAAACUCUGAUGCAGCGACGCCGCGUGAGGGAAGACGGUCUUCGGAUUGUAAACCUCUGUCUUUGGGGAAGAAAAUGACGGUACUCAUAGAGGAAGCUCCGGCUAACUACGUGCCAGCAGCCGCGGUAAUACGUAGGGAGCGAGGUUUGUCCGGAAUUACUGGGUGUAAGGGGAGUGGAGGCGGGCGAGAAAGUUGAAUGUUAAAUCUACCGGCUUAACUGGGAGCUGCGUUCAAAACUGCUUGUCUUGAGUGAAGUAGAGGCAGGCAGAAUUCCAAGUGUAGCGGUGAAAUGCGUAGAUAUUAGGAGGAACACCAGUGGCGAAGGCGGCCUGCUGGGCUUUAACUGACGCUGAGGCUCGAAAGCGUGGGGAGCAAACAGGAUUAGAUACCCUGGUAGUC
RNAcentral lists this ribosomal RNA (439 nucleotides) under uncultured bacterium. RNAcentral's name for it is "partial 16S ribosomal RNA". It matches the Rfam family "Bacterial small subunit ribosomal RNA", at positions 338 to 795 of the family's 1533-position model. The record is from RNAcentral.